RNAcentral lists this ribosomal RNA (1642 nucleotides) under Vibrio cholerae. RNAcentral's name for it is "partial 23S ribosomal RNA". It matches the Rfam family "Bacterial large subunit ribosomal RNA", at positions 1325 to 2925 of the family's 2925-position model. Lineage: Bacteria; Pseudomonadati; Pseudomonadota; Gammaproteobacteria; Vibrionales; Vibrionaceae. The record is from RNAcentral.
AAAACCUCCUCGCCGGAAGACCAAGGGUUCCUGUCCAACGUUAAUCGGGGCAGGGUGAGUCGACCCCUAAGGUGAGGCCGAAAGGCGUAAUCGAUGGGAAACGGGUUAAUAUUCCCGUACUUCUGACUAUUGCGAUGGGGGGACGGAGAAGGCUAGGUGGGCCAGGCGACGGUUGUCCUGGUUCAAGUGCGUAGGCUUGAGAGUUAGGUAAAUCCGGCUCUCUCUAAGGCUGAGACACGACGUCGAGCUACUACGGUAGUGAAGUCAUUGAUGCCAUGCUUCCAGGAAAAGCCUCUAAGCUUCAGAUAGUCAGGAAUCGUACCCCAAACCGACACAGGUGGUCGGGUAGAGAAUACCAAGGCGCUUGAGAGAACUCGGGUGAAGGAACUAGGCAAAAUGGUACCGUAACUUCGGGAGAAGGUACGCUCUUGAUGGUGAAGUCCCUCGCGGAUGGAGCUGACGAGAGUCGCAGAUACCAGGUGGCUGCAACUGUUUAUUAAAAACACAGCACUGUGCAAAAUCGCAAGAUGACGUAUACGGUGUGACGCCUGCCCGGUGCCGGAAGGUUAAUUGAUGGGGUUAGCGCAAGCGAAGCUCUUGAUCGAAGCCCCGGUAAACGGCGGCCGUAACUAUAACGGUCCUAAGGUAGCGAAAUUCCUUGUCGGGUAAGUUCCGACCUGCACGAAUGGCGUAAUGAUGGCCACGCUGUCUCCACCCGAGACUCAGUGAAAUUGAAAUCGCUGUGAAGAUGCAGUGUACCCGCGGCUAGACGGAAAGACCCCGUGAACCUUUACUACAGCUUGGCACUGAACAUUGAACCUACAUGUGUAGGAUAGGUGGGAGGCUAUGAAGACGUGACGCCAGUUGCGUUGGAGCCGUCCUUGAAAUACCACCCUUGUAUGUUUGAUGUUCUAACUUAGACCCGUUAUCCGGGUUGAGGACAGUGCCUGGUGGGUAGUUUGACUGGGGCGGUCUCCUCCCAAAGAGUAACGGAGGAGCACGAAGGUGGGCUAAUCACGGUUGGACAUCGUGAGGUUAGUGCAAUGGCAUAAGCCCGCUUAACUGCGAGAAUGACGGUUCGAGCAGGUGCGAAAGCAGGUCAUAGUGAUCCGGUGGUUCUGUAUGGAAGGGCCAUCGCUCAACGGAUAAAAGGUACUCCGGGGAUAACAGGCUGAUACCGCCCAAGAGUUCAUAUCGACGGCGGUGUUUGGCACCUCGAUGUCGGCUCAUCACAUCCUGGGGCUGAAGUCGGUCCCAAGGGUAUGGCUGUUCGCCAUUUAAAGUGGUACGCGAGCUGGGUUUAGAACGUCGUGAGACAGUUCGGUCCCUAUCUGCCGUGGGCGUUGGAAGAUUGAAGGGGGCUGCUCCUAGUACGAGAGGACCGGAGUGGACGAACCUCUGGUGUUCGGGUUGUGUCGCCAGACGCAUUGCCCGGUAGCUAAGUUCGGAAUUGAUAAGCGCUGAAAGCAUCUAAGCGCGAAGCGAGCCCUGAGAUGAGUCUUCCCUGACAGUUUAACUGUCCUAAAGGGUUGUUCGAGACUAGAACGUUGAUAGGCAGGGUGUGUAAGCGUUGUGAGGCGUUGAGCUAACCUGUACUAAUUGCCCGUGAGGCUUAACCAUACAACACCCAAGGGGUUUUGUA